Molecule: long non-coding RNA, 742 nt
Filed under: Lupinus angustifolius (narrow-leaved blue lupine)
Lineage: Eukaryota; Viridiplantae; Streptophyta; Magnoliopsida; Fabales; Fabaceae
Description: long non-coding RNA (LANG_LNC000918)
Source: RNAcentral
UUAUUUUCUUGCUCUUUCAUCUUCUUCUGUCUCCAUCUACCUUUCUUCUUCUGCUUUAUUUGAUUCAAGAACAUGCACAAAGAUGAGUUCAGAAUUAAACAAGGCCUUGAAAGAAAUUCCAUUGGAAAAUGUAGAAGUCUUAGCAAUAAUCUAACUUGUCACAGUUGCAGAAUUAAUCCAAGAAAUCACAAAGUCAGUGGAGAAAAUUUACGAACCUUGUCUCUCUGCCACCGGUUUGUUUUUCCAUGUCCUUCUUGCUCUCUCCAGUGAUGUAGUAGAUGUCUUUCUGACCCUCCUUCAUUCUGGUAACAUAGUCCUUUAUUUUUAUUAUCUCACUUUUUCUUUGACACUCUUGUAGUUGAGAUUUGUUGAUGCUAAAGGGAUGGUGUCUUCUUGCACUGAUUUAGGAGAGUUCUUUGUUUUUGGCAAUUCUUUACAAGUUUCUUGAUUCUGAACAAUGUUUGAAGCAAUCUGAAGAGCAGUUUGAUGAAAUUAAGAUGCGGUUAGUUACUUAGCAGAAGAAGACUUUAUCACCAUUUAAGAAUGCAGAUAAUGGUUGCCGAAAGAACUAUGAAAUGUGGCGUAUGUUAAUGCUGAUGGUCAGGAACAACUUCACUUCCAUUCUUGCUUUCAUAAGAUGAAGCCUUGGAGAAGACUUCUGCAGGAAAGAAUGUUAUGGUCUUUGUGAUUUGUGAUUCAAAUUCGUUCCCAUCUUCAGCAAGAUUAAAUUUAAUCAGUUCUG